UUCUCUUUAAUGAUAAUAAAUAAAGUGGAGUAGUUCACAUCCAUCUCUUUAAUGACCGGGACGAUUCUCACUUGGCAACGUUUCUCGGCUAGUUUUCUCUCUUAAGCAACUUUUUAAUUCUAUUCAUACAACUUAUUUUCCUCAUUCUUUUUAUUAAUGCAACUUUUUUAUUAGGCCACUAUAGUCAACAAUGAGGAAAUAAUGCAUAGCAGAUACAGAUUGGAUACAAGCAGCUGAAGUUAAAUCUCAGCCAUCAAUUAAUCAUAUCAAAGAGCCAUCUUCAAGAAUUUUCCUUCCAGUGCAUACGCAGGAGCCAUAUAUCCACUGAGCGAAAAUCAGAUAACUAGCCACCUUUAAUUUGAGAAGGAUUGAAUGAACUAAUUCAGGUAAAUUCACAUGCCUUGAGCAAAAAUAUACUUACUAUGUGCCUACCACUCUCAAGGUACUGACAUGAUCCCGUGUUGUCCCAAAUAUUCUGGCCAUGCCAAAGUCUGAAACUCUUGCAUUCCAAUCAUUAUCCAACAAUAUGUUGCUGGGCUUGAGGUCUCGAUGGAUUAUCUUCAAUCUUGAAUCCCGGUGGAGAUAAAGCAGGCCUCGGCAGAUACCUUGAAUCACAUUGAAACGCUUUGUCCAAUCUAGGAUCUGUUGUGAAUGAUCUAAACAGAAUUUUCAGGAGAAAGUGAAGUUAAAACUCCAAAUCUUCAGCAUUGAUAAAAAAAUACAUGGUAGAUCUUGAGCUAACCAAAUAGGAAAAAAUCCAAGCUUUUAUUAGGCAUGUACUCAUAUAUCAGCAUCUUCUCUUUAUUCU
This is a long non-coding RNA of Salvia splendens (bonfire salvia), 808 nucleotides long. RefSeq lists it as uncharacterized. NCBI's taxonomy places the organism in Eukaryota, Viridiplantae, Streptophyta, Magnoliopsida, Lamiales, Lamiaceae. The record is from RefSeq and is a predicted model, not a curated record. The transcript has 2 exons.